GCCUUGGUGCCUUCGGGAACUGUGAGACAGGUGCUGCAUGGCUGUCGUCAGCUCGUGUUGUGAAAUGUUGGGUUAAGUCCCGCAACGAGCGCAACCCUUAUCCUUUGUUGCCAGCACGUAAUGGUGGGAACUCAAGGGAGACUGCCGGUGACAAACCGGAGGAAGGUGGGGAUGACGUCAAGUCAUCAUGGCCCUUACGAGUAGGGCUACACACGUGCUACAAUGGCAGAUACAAAGUGAAGCGAACUCGCGAGAGCAAGCGGACCACAUAAAGUCUGUCGUAGUCCGGAUUGGAGUCUGCAACUCGACUCCAUGAAGUCGGAAUCGCUAGUAAUCGUAGAUCAGAAUGCUACGGUGAAUACGUUCCCGGGCCUUGUACACACCGCCCGUCACACCAUGGGAGUGGGUUGCAAAAGAAGUAGGUAGCUUAACCUUCGGGAGGGCGCUUACCACUUUGUGAUUCAUGACUGGGGUGAAGUCGUAACAAGGUAACCGUAGGGGAACCUGCGGUUGGAUCACCUCCUUACCUAAAGA
This 534-nucleotide ribosomal RNA is filed under the name Yersinia ruckeri. RNAcentral's name for it is "bacterial SSU rRNA". It matches the Rfam family "Bacterial small subunit ribosomal RNA", at positions 1008 to 1533 of the family's 1533-position model. Lineage: Bacteria; Pseudomonadati; Pseudomonadota; Gammaproteobacteria; Enterobacterales; Yersiniaceae. The record is from RNAcentral.